Molecule: ribosomal RNA, 253 nt
Filed under: uncultured bacterium
Lineage: Bacteria
Description: partial 16S ribosomal RNA
Rfam family: Bacterial small subunit ribosomal RNA
Source: RNAcentral
UACGGAGGUGGCAAGCGUUGCUCGGAAUCAUUGGGUGUAAAGGGCGAGUAGGCGGUCCUGCAAGUCGGGUGUGAAAUUCCACAGCUCAACCGUGGAACUGCGCUCGAUACUGCGGGACUUGAGGAUGGGAGAGGCAAGAGGAAUUCCCGGUGUAAGGGUGAAAUCUGUAGAGAUCGGGAGGAACACCAGUGGCGAAGGCGUCUUGCUAGCCCAUUUCUGACGCUGAGAAGCGAAAGCUAGGGGAGCGAACAGG